Molecule: ribosomal RNA, 486 nt
Filed under: uncultured bacterium
Lineage: Bacteria
Description: partial 16S ribosomal RNA
Rfam family: Bacterial small subunit ribosomal RNA
Source: RNAcentral
AUUGAACGCUGGCGGCAUGCCUUACACAUGCAAGUCGAACGGCAGCACGGGUGCUUGCACCUGGUGGCGAGUGGCGAACGGGUGAGUAAUACAUCGGAACAUGUCCUGUAGUGGGGGGUAGCCCGGCGAAAGCCGGAUUAAUACCGCAUACGAUCCACGGAUGAAAGCGGGGGACCUUCGGGCCUCGCGCUAUAGGGUUGGCCGAUGGCUGAUUAGCUAGUUGGUGGGGUAAAGGCCUACCAAGGCGACGAUCAGUAGCUGGUCUGAGAGGACGACCAGCCACACUGGGACUGAGACACGGCCCAGACUCCUACGGGAGGCAGCAGUGGGGAAUUUUGGACAAUGGGCGAAAGCCUGAUCCAGCAAUGCCGCGUGUGUGAAGAAGGCCUUCGGGUUGUAAAGCACUUUUGUCCGGAAAGAAAUCCUUGGCUCUAAUACAGUCGGGGGAUGACGGUACCGGAAGAAUAAGCACCGGCUAACUACGUG